This 578-nucleotide ribosomal RNA is filed under the name Chalarus spurius. RNAcentral describes it as "eukaryotic LSU rRNA". The record is from RNAcentral. Lineage: Eukaryota; Metazoa; Arthropoda; Insecta; Diptera; Pipunculidae.
UGCUUAGAGGUUAAGCCCGAUGAACUGAAUAUCCAUUAUGGAAAAUUCAUCACUUAAUAUUAUUGUAUUUUUAUUAAUACAAUGAGAACAGUGUGCACUUUUUCCAUAAAGGACAUUGUAAUCUGUUAAUGUUAAAAUAUAAAAAUUUAUCAAAAGAUCUUAAGGCCAAGUUUAUUCGAAUUAUUUUGCUUGCAAAUUAACAUAGAAUAAUUCCUUUUGUUUCUGAUAAAGCGUUGACAGAUUUAUUAUAUAUAGUGCUUGAAUUCUUCGGAAUUUUAUAAUAGCAUGAAUCAUCAUAUGAUAUUUAUGUUUACUAUUAUAUGCACUUAUAUGAUUUACAAUGCGAUAGAUUCAGGAUACCUUCGGGACCCGUCUUGAAACACGGACCAAGGAGUCUAACAUAUGUGCAAGUUAUUGGGAAUAUUUUUUUAAAAUAAACCCAAAAGCGAAAUUAACUUAACUGUUAAAUUAAUGGGAUUAGUUUAUAUUUUAUUUAUUUAAAAUUAUAAAUACAAUCCCGGGGCGUUCUAUACAGUUAUGUAUAAUGUUAUUUUUAAUAAUAUUUAUACCUCUAACUA